UAAUCCCCACACCUCAGGAUGUGACUGUUUGGAGACAGGGACUGCAAAGAGGUGAUUCAGUUAAAAUGAAGGCAUUAGUGUGGGCCUUAAUUCAACAUGCCUCUUGUCUUUCUAAGCAGAGGUGAUCGGGACACAGGUGGGCAUAUGGGAAGACCAUGCGAGGACACGGGGAGGAGACGGCCGUCUGCAAGCCAAGGGGAGGGGCCUCAGGAGGUGCCGUCCAGAACCAUGGAGCCUCCAGAACUGUGAGGAAACAAAGUUCUGUCGUUUAAGCCACCCAGGCUGGUAUUUUGUCGUGGCAGCCCUAGCAAACGAAUACACUCCCGAAGUGUCGGAGAUUAGUAACAGCCGGACAUGGUUUGGUCCUGGGCAUCACGGAGCGCCCGGCCGGUGAGAGGGUCGGGGAACGUGGCAGGUAACAGCAGCGCCGCUUGCUGGCUGCGCUGGGGUCGGGGUGCGCAGGGGUCUUCAGAAGCCACGGGGGCACGGCGGGCGACGGGGGACCCAGCAGGGAGCAGGCCUGAAUCAGGAAGGCUACAGGUUAGCAGACUGAGAAGAGAGGCCCUCCAGACAGAAAGGACAGCAAGGGCAAAGGCGGGGGAGCUGGACCUCAGGACCACCACCUUGACAGCCUCAGAUUUCACAUCCCUAGUGUGGGGAGAGCUUGAGUGAACAGCCAGGUCCUUGGCGUGGACUGGUCUGUGAUUUCUCUAAGGAACAAAGGUGACCUGAGGGAGGGAGCAGGGUGGGAGCCUUCGUCUGCCCUGUGAUGCCUCACUCACUGCGAUUUCUUGUCUCAUCUAGAGCCUGGGAGAAGUUGUUCUGCAGACUAGGAAAUCGAGGGCGUUACCUGCUGGACUGCCACUCAGGACUCUGAACCUUCCUGAAAGUGCCCGUUGCACGAUCUGCUUCGUAACCCAGCCCUGACCCCUGACGUUGGGCAUGGAGGGAGUGAAGCACUGUUCUUGUUUCCCAGAGAAACACAGCACCGGACAGGCGGACUCUCUAAACAUCCCUAUCAUGACAGCUGAAAAUGGAUUGUUUGUGCUUUGUAUUUGCAUUUAUUUAAUUAUUAGUAAAGUCACACAUUUUUCACGUUUUAAGCCAUUUGUAUUUUCUACUAAUAAUCUGGACCCCUUUAUCCAGUAAGGUCUUAGUAGUAAAUUGAAUCAUGUGUAAU
Physeter macrocephalus (sperm whale) is the source of this 1180-nucleotide long non-coding RNA. RefSeq lists it as uncharacterized. The record is from RefSeq and is a predicted model, not a curated record. Lineage: Eukaryota; Metazoa; Chordata; Mammalia; Artiodactyla; Physeteridae. The transcript has 3 exons.